This 540-nucleotide ribosomal RNA is filed under the name uncultured bacterium. Its description in RNAcentral is "bacterial SSU rRNA". It matches the Rfam family "Bacterial small subunit ribosomal RNA", at positions 43 to 616 of the family's 1533-position model. The record is from RNAcentral.
CGUGCCUAAACAUGCAAGUCGCACGAGAAAGUGGAGCAAUCCAUGAGUAAAGUGGCGCACGGGUGAGUAACACGUGAAUGAUCUACCUCCGAGUGGGGAAUAACCUAGAGAAAUCUGGGCUAAUACCGCAUAACACUUACGAGUCAAAGCAGCAAUGCGCUUGGAGAGGAGUUCGCGGCCGAUUAGUUAGUUGGCGGGGUAAUGGCCCACCAAGACGAUGAUCGGUAUCCGGCCUGAGAGGGCGCACGGACACACUGGAACUGAAACACGGUCCAGACUCCUACGGGAGGCAGCAGUGGGGAAUUUUGCGCAAUGGGGGAAACCCUGACGCAGCAACGCCGCGUGGAGGAUGAAAUCCCUUGGGAUGUAAACUCCUUUCGAUCGGGACGAUUAUGACGGUACCGGAAGAAGAAGCCCCGGCUAACUUCGUGCCAGCAGCCGCGGUAAUACGAGGGGGGCAAGCGUUGUUCGGAAUUAUUGGGCGUAAAGGGCGCGUAGGCGGUUUGACAAGCCUGAUGUGAAAUCUCUGGGCUCAACUCA